CCCCUGGUGGUCUAGUGCUUAGGAUGCGGCGCUCUCACCUCCGCAGCCCGGGGUUCGAUUCCCGGUCAGGGAA
This 73-nucleotide transfer RNA is filed under the name Manacus vitellinus (golden-collared manakin). It matches the Rfam family "tRNA". Rfam says of the family: Transfer RNA (tRNA) molecules are approximately 80 nucleotides in length. Their secondary structure includes four short double-helical elements and three loops (D, anti-codon, and T loops). Lineage: Eukaryota; Metazoa; Chordata; Aves; Passeriformes; Pipridae. The record is from Rfam by way of RNAcentral.